GUCCAGAUUGUGGCUGAAGCUGAAUUUUAUGAGCCUUCCCCCAGCUCUCCUGUACUUCUUUUUCAGGGCAAGAAACAGAACGGAAAUGGAGAGGAGAGCCCAGCAUGACUUGCGCCGUGCCAAAGGAAUACGUAGAAAUAUCUUGAAAGAGCCAGGUUGGUCCAGACCUGCUGGCAAGCCUGCAGCCCCAUCCACCGAUUACCUAAUACACUUGUGACAUCUGCUUUCCUUGUUGUGAGAAAACACAGGGAGGAAGUGUGUGCAGAAGGGGUGAUGCCUGACCUACACACCCGGCAAUACCAGAAGUUUCACUACCUUCCGUUGGUAAACGCUUCAGGGAAGGCUCUGCAACCCUGAACGUGUUUUAUUGUAGAACCUCACUAGGAAACUCAUCAGUAUUUAUUAAAGAUGAAUUAAAAGAAGGAGGAAAAGGAAAAACGGGAUAGUGAAGAGAAUAGAUGAAUGAAAAAGAAGCAAAGGGAAGAGAGGAGGAAGGGACAAAGAGGGCAAGAAAAGAGAAAAGAGAGAUGAGAGACCAGGACUUCCCACCUAACCUUACCAAACUUUUUCAGUUGAGCUUUUAAUGGGAUACUAUUCCCAAGAGGAAAUUCAAAAAGAAAACCACCUUGAAACAUCCUUGCUUUUAAUUGUACUCUUUCAACUGCCAGGAAAUUAAUUAGGUAAGACAAAAAGAAAAUUUUCUACCUUAAUAAAAAGAAGCCAACACCCAGGAACAACUGUCUUUGCUUGAGAACAGUGUUACGUGUACAAAGCUGCCUACAAAGUGUCUCCCGCCUGGCUCAGGCAAGAAACUGGGACAGAAGUCUGUGAUGUUAUACCAGCCUGGGAGUCGUGCAUGGUCAUGUCAGUGUCGAGUGCACCAGGCGACACAGGGACAUGCCAGGCACCGCUCCUCCAGAGAGACUUGCCAGGUAUACAUGUUACCUCUCUCCCUUAGGCUUCACAGACUCGGCGGCCUUCCUCCAACCACCUGUCUCCUUAGGAAGUUUGAGAGAACUUUCUCCUCUGUGAUACAAACAGUAACCAAACAAAGCAGUAAACAAUCCAGUGUGGAAAGCACAUACUAAAGCUAAGAUUUAAUGUCACUGAAAUAAAAUCAUAACAACAAAAAA
Molecule: long non-coding RNA, 1133 nt
Filed under: Mus musculus (house mouse)
Lineage: Eukaryota; Metazoa; Chordata; Mammalia; Rodentia; Muridae
Description: RIKEN cDNA 2600014E21 gene
Source: RNAcentral